UUAGCCAUGCAUGUCUAAGUAUAAAUUCUUGUACGAUGAAACUGCAGACGGCUCAUUACAACAGUGAUAAACUAAUAGACUUUCGGGUUUUACCUUUUGGAUAACCGCAGUAAAUCGGGGCUAAUACAUAGAAGCGAGGGGUGACUGAUUUAUCGGAAGCUCCGCGAUUAUUAGCAUUCAACCAAUACCCGCAAGGGUUCUGUUGGUGAAACCGAAUAAUAUUGCAGAUCGAAGAUUUAUCUUCGACAAGUCUACUGUGUCACUGCCCUAUCAACUUUCGAUGGUACGGUAUUGGCCUACCAUGGUUGUAACGGGUAACGGGGAAUUAGGGUUCGAUUCCGGAGAGGGAGCCUGAGAAAUGGCUACCACUUCUACGGAAGGCAGCAGGCGCGCAAAUUACUCAAUCCCAAUACGGGGAAGUAGUGACAAUAAAUAUCGAUGCCUAUCCAUUUAUGGAAGGGUAAUUGAAAUGAACACAAAUUAAAACUCUUAAUUAAUACAAUUGGAGGGCAAGUCUGGUGCCAGCAGCCGCGGUAAUUCCAGCUCCAAUAGCAUAUACUAAAGUUGUUGCAGUUAAAAAGCUCGUAGUUGAAGUUAAAGCUUUAUUUGGGUUAAAAAUCCAUUUGCCUUUUAACGGUUAAAUAGGAUUCCAGUAUUGCUUUUUUAAAGUUCAGUUUGUAUUGCCUUUGGUAGUAUUUAUUUGGACAUUUCACUGUGAGAAAAUUGUGGUGUUUAAAGCAGGCGUCUCUGUCUGAUCUUUUGCAGCAUGGUAUGAUGGAACAUGACAUUUUGCGCAAUUGGUUGCGAUUAAAGUGUAAUGAUUAAUAGGGAUGGAUGGGGGUGUUCAUAUUGGUGGGCGAGAGGUGAAAUUCGUUGACCCUAUCAAGAUGAACUUCUGCGAAAGCAUUCACCAAAUACUUCCCCAUUAAUCAAGAACGAAAGUUUGGGGAUCGAAGACGAUCAGAUACCGUCGUAGUCCAGACUAUAAACUAUGUCGACCAGGGAUCGGUUAAAACUUUUUAAAAGUUUAAUCGGCACCUUGUGAGAAAUCACGAGUGUUUAGAUUCCGGGGGGAGUAUGGUCGCAAGUCUGAAACUUAAAGGAAUUGACGGAAGGGCACACAAUGGAGUGGAGCCUGCGGCUUAAUUUGACUCAACUCGGGAAAACUUACCAAGCUAAGAUAUAGUAAGGAUUGACAGACUAAGAGAUCUUUCAUGAUUCUAUAAGUGGUGGUGCAUGGUCGUUCUUAGUUGGUGGAGCGAUUUGUCUGGUCAAUUCCGAUAACGGACGAGACCUCGACCUGCUAACUAGUAGUAUUUAUUGGCCGUUAUGGAUGAUAGCUAUUCGGGGUUUGGAAGGGUUUCGGCUCUCUCCGCUUCGUGUGGUGUGUAAUCUGGUCGGAUAGGUACGAAUUAAAACUUCUUAGAGGGACUACCUGCCUCAAGCAGGCGGAAGUCCGAGGCAAUAACAGGUCUGUGAUGCCCUUAGAUACCUUGGGCCGCACGCGCGCUACAAUGUAGAAAGCAAAAAGGUUCCUGGUCCGGAAGGAUUGGGUAAUCAAUUGAAUUUUCUACGUAACUGGGAUUGAUCUUUGUAAUUAUUGAUCAUCAACGAGGAAUUCCUUGUAAGCGUAAGUCAUUACCUUAUGCUGAAUAUGUCCCUGCCCUUUGUACACACCGCCC
Molecule: ribosomal RNA, 1682 nt
Filed under: Polysphondylium sp.
Lineage: Eukaryota; Evosea; Eumycetozoa; Dictyosteliales; Dictyosteliaceae
Description: SSU rRNA
Rfam family: Eukaryotic small subunit ribosomal RNA
Source: RNAcentral